This is an RNA transcript of Cebus imitator (Panamanian white-faced capuchin), 1281 nucleotides long. It is a transcript of the gene named replication factor C subunit 2-like, with no coding region annotated. The transcript is spliced from 2 exons. NCBI's taxonomy places the organism in Eukaryota, Metazoa, Chordata, Mammalia, Primates, Cebidae. The record is from RefSeq and is a predicted model, not a curated record.
AUGGAGGCGGAGGCUGGUGGUGGUGGUAGCAUGGGCCAGCGGGAGGCCCAGGACACUGACCCUGCCUCCAGCAAGGCUCCCGGCAGUGCGUUGGGAAUGAAGACACAGUGAGCAGUCUAGAGGUCUUUGCAGGGGAAGGGAAUGUGCCCAAUAUCAUCACUGCAGGCCCACCAGGAACUGACAAGACUACACACAUUCUGUGCUUGGGACGAGCCCUGCUGGACCCAGCACUCAAAGACGCCGUGUUGGAACUCACUACUUCAAAUGACAGGGGCAGCCGACAUAAGAUCAUCAUUCAGUAUGAAGCACACAGCAUGACUGAGGGAGCCAGUGCCCUUGCUUGUAACACUUCGGAUAAGAUCAUCGAGCCCAUUCAGUCCCACUGUGCUGACCUCCACUACCCGAAGCUGACCAAUGCCCAGAUCCUUGCCAGGCUGAUGAAUGUUAUCAAGAAGGAGAGGGUGCCCCACACUGAUGACGGCUUGGAAGCCAUCAUCUUCACCGCCCACGGAGACAUGAGGCAGGUGCGGAACAACCUGCAGUCCACCCUGGCAGGAUUUGCUUUCAUUAACAGUGAGAAUGUGUUUAUGGUCUGUGAAGAGCCCCACCCACUGCUGAUGAAGGAAAUGAUCCAGCACUGUGUGAAUGCCAACACCGACGAAGCCUGCAAGAUUCUUGCUCACCUGUGGCAUCUGCGCUACUCACCAGAAGGUAUCAUUGGUAACAUCUUUCAAGUGUGUAAAACUUUCCAAAUGACAGAACACCUGAAACUGGAGGUUAUCGAGGAAAUUGGAUACACUCAUAUAAAAACAGCAGAAGGAGUGAACUCCCUUUUGCAGAUGGCAGGCCUCCUGGCCAGGCUGUGUCAGAAGACAAUGGCCCCAGUAGCCAGUUGGAGCAGAGAGUUUGCUGACUGACUUACAGGUGCCCUAUCCUGAGAUGCAGGAGCUGCGGUCUUCUGAUAGGGGAAAAUGCUGCCUUAGGCUGGAACCAGCAUGACUGCCCUUUAAACUCCCGUGGUGGGCUGGACGUGGUAGUUCACACCUGUAAUCCCAGCACUUUGGGAGACCAAGGCAGGCAGAUCACUUGAGGUCAGGAGUUUGAGACAAGCCUGGCCAACAUGGUGAAACCCUGUCUCUGCUAAAAAUACAAAAAUUAGCUAGAGGUGGUGUCAUGCACCUGCAACCCUGGCUGCUCGGGAGGCUGAGGCAGGAUAAUCCCUUUUUCCCAGGAGGUAGUGGUUGCAGUGAGCCGAGAUUGUGCCCUUACAUUCUAGCUGGG